Molecule: small RNA, 124 nt
Filed under: Marmota monax (woodchuck)
Lineage: Eukaryota; Metazoa; Chordata; Mammalia; Rodentia; Sciuridae
Source: RNAcentral
GCCGGGCACGUGGCACACACCUGUAAUCCUGGCAACUCAGGAGGCUGAGGCAGGAGGAUUGCAAAUUCAAGGCCAGCCUCAGCAAAAGUGAGGCCUUAAGCAACUCAGUGAGACCCUGUCUCUA